GACGAACGCUGGCGGCGUGCUUAACACAUGCAAGUCGAACGGAAAGGCCCUGCUUUUGUGGGGUGCUCGAGUGGCGAACGGGUGAGUAACACGUGAGUAACCUGCCCUUGACUUUGGGAUAACUUCAGGAAACUGGGGCUAAUACCGGAUAGGAGCUCCUGCUGCAUGGUGGGGGUUGGAAAGUUUCGGCGGUUGGGGAUGGACUCGCGGCUUAUCAGCUUGUUGGUGGGGUAGUGGCUUACCAAGGCUUUGACGGGUAGCCGGCCUGAGAGGGUGACCGGCCACAUUGGGACUGAGAUACGGCCCAGACUCCUACGGGAGGCAGCAGUGGGGAGUAUUGCACAAUGGGCGGAAGCCUGAUGCAGCAACGCCGCGUGCGGGAUGUCGGCCUUCGGGUUGUAAACCGCUUUCGCCUGUGACGAAGCGUGAGUGACGGUAAUGGGUAAAGAAGCACCGGCUAACUACGUG
This 468-nucleotide ribosomal RNA is filed under the name uncultured bacterium. RNAcentral's name for it is "partial 16S ribosomal RNA". It matches the Rfam family "Bacterial small subunit ribosomal RNA", at positions 28 to 507 of the family's 1533-position model. The record is from RNAcentral.